Long non-coding RNA from Nerophis ophidion (straightnose pipefish), 1484 nucleotides. RefSeq lists it as uncharacterized. The transcript has 2 exons. The record is from RefSeq and is a predicted model, not a curated record. NCBI's taxonomy places the organism in Eukaryota, Metazoa, Chordata, Actinopteri, Syngnathiformes, Syngnathidae.
UCUCGCCUUUCUCUCUGUCAUUUUUUCAUAAUAAUAAUGAACUGGCAGCAGCCAGCGUCAUCUCACAAGACCCUCGGGUGCCGUGAAUGUCAAUCAAGCAUGCUACGAAAUUUGCCGCCAAUGUUUUUCUUGUAAAGUGUAUGGAAGCUGGAUGAAUUAGAUGCCAAAAACCAACCACUUUCAUGUGGUAUUGUACAGAAAGGACAACUUUUUUUCUCCUCCAUUUGAAAAUGUGGGCGUUAUCAUCAUUACUGUCUGAUUCCAAUCAAUGCAAGUCAUCAGAAUCAGGUAAUACACCAACUUAUAUUCUUGUCUUCGUGAAAGAAAGACAUCUAUAUGUGUUACACAUGCUUGUAUUAUCAUUAAACACAUUUAACUUGUUUACAAAAAUGUCUCUUACAUAAAUAAAUAAAUAUAAAUUAUAUAUAUAAAUGAGGUCGAUCCCCUCGAGUUGGUCAAUUCAAAAGUAGCUCGCCUGCAGAAAAAGUGUGGGCACCCCUGAUGUACGCUAUGCGCAUGCACUGCGGCUACGUCUCAUGAGGUGGCAGUAAGCCAGCCAAUGAUGUGUCAUGUGCAGCUCAUGUGACCACGCAGUCUUCUUUGCCUGGAAACAUUCGAAAAAUAGCGGAGGAAAGCAGUACGGAUAGUUCAACGGAGAAACAUCUUGAGGUUAUUGCUUCAAUGGAGAAAAGUGUACGACCUAAGUCAAAAGUUUGGGAACACUUUAAAGGCUUCAAAGACAGUUUCUUGCAAAAUGUGCAGCAUGGACCUCACGUGGCACGGAAGGACAACAUUGCCUCGGGAGCACCUGAAAAGGAAACAUGUUGGAGCCAUGGAUGAAGGGAACGGAACUUACGAAAGAAACAAGCCGGCAUUAGAGACUUGGUAGAAAGGAAAGUCUGCACACCACAGCAAGCGGCUGCAUUGACUGAUGCUAUCGUGAAUAUGUUGGUAACUGACAUGAGGCCACUAUCAAUGGUGGAAGAUGAAGGUUUUAGACCAAUUAUUCACGUCCUCAACCCUGGUUACACUCUUCCCUCGAGGACCCAUUUUACCAAACUGAUGGAGAGGAAGUACGAGCAGACAUUCCAAGCAGUGUAGACUGACAUGAAAGCCACCCAGAGCCAAAUUGCUCUCACUACUGAUGUGUGGACAAGUGGCAAUACAUGCCACUACAUUGGAGACGAAUGGAACAUGAAGUCAAUCUGCCUUACGACCAUGCCACUAGAGGAAAGACAUUCUGCAUCCAAAAUGCAGAAUAGUUGGAAUAGGUAGUGGCCAGGUUUGAAAUUCCCCCAACUAAGGAACAUGAAGUCAAUCUGCCUUACGACCAUGCCACUAGAGGAAAGACAUUCAGCAUCCAACAUUGCAGAAUGGUUGGAAUAGGUAGUGGCCAGGUUUGAAAUUCCCCCAACUAAAAAUAUUGCUAUUGUGCAUGACAAUGGUGCACUUUAUAAAAAUUCAAAAUAAAAUUUUUUGUAACA